AGAGUUUGAUCAUGGCUCAGAUUGAACGCUGGCGGCAGGCCUAACACAUGCAAGUCGAACGGUAACAGAAAGCAGCUUGCUGCUUUGCUGACGAGUGGCGGACGGGUGAGUAAUGUCUGGGAAACUGCCUGAUGGAGGGGGAUAACUACUGGAAACGGUAGCUAAUACCGCAUAACGUCGCAAGACCAAAGAGGGGGACCUUAGGGCCUCUUGCCAUCGGAUGUGCCCAGAUGGGAUUAGCUAGUAGGUGGGGUAACGGCUCACCUAGGCGACGAUCCCUAGCUGGUCUGAGAGGAUGACCAGCCACACUGGAACUGAGACACGGUCCAGACUCCUACGGGAGGCAGCAGUGGGGAAUAUUGCACAAUGGGCGCAAGCCUGAUGCAGCCAUGCCGCGUGUAUGAAGAAGGCCUUCGGGUUGUAAAGUACUUUCAGCGGGGAGGAAGGGAGUAAAGUUAAUACCUUUGCUCAUUGACGUUACCCGCAGAAGAAGCACCGGCUAACUCCGUGCCAGCAGCCGCGGUAAUACGGAGGGUGCAAGCGUUAAUCGGAAUUACUGGGCGUAAAGCGCACGCAGGCGGUUUGUUAAGUCAGAUGUGAAAUCCCCGGGCUCAACCUGGGAACUGCAUCUGAUACUGGCAAGCUUGAGUCUCGUAGAGGGGGGUAGAAUUCCAGGUGUAGCGGUGAAAUGCGUAGAGAUCUGGAGGAAUACCGGUGGCGAAGGCGGCCCCCUGGACGAAGACUGACGCUCAGGUGCGAAAGCGUGGGGAGCAAACAGGAUUAGAUACCCUGGUAGUCCACGCCGUAAACGAUGUCGACUUGGAGGUUGUGCCCUUGAGGCGUGGCUUCCGGAGCUAACGCGUUAAGUCGACCGCCUGGGGAGUACGGCCGCAAGGUUAAAACUCAAAUGAAUUGACGGGGGCCCGCACAAGCGGUGGAGCAUGUGGUUUAAUUCGAUGCAACGCGAAGAACCUUACCUGGUCUUGACAUCCACGGAAGUUUUCAGAGAUGAGAAUGUGCCUUCGGGAACCGUGAGACAGGUGCUGCAUGGCUGUCGUCAGCUCGUGUUGUGAAAUGUUGGGUUAAGUCCCGCAACGAGCGCAACCCUUAUCCUUUGUUGCCAGCGGUCCGGCCGGGAACUCAAAGGAGACUGCCAGUGAUAAACUGGAGGAAGGUGGGGAUGACGUCAAGUCAUCAUGGCCCUUACGACCAGGGCUACACACGUGCUACAAUGGCGCAUACAAAGAGAAGCGACCUCGCGAGAGCAAGCGGACCUCAUAAAGUGCGUCGUAGUCCGGAUUGGAGUCUGCAACUCGACUCCAUGAAGUCGGAAUCGCUAGUAAUCGUGGAUCAGAAUGCCACGGUGAAUACGUUCCCGGGCCUUGUACACACCGCCCGUCACACCAUGGGAGUGGGUUGCAAAAGAAGUAGGUAGCUUAACCUUCGGGAGGGCGCUUACCACUUUGUGAUUCAUGACUGGGGUGAAGUCGUAACAAGGUAACCGUAGGGGAACCUGCGGUUGGAUCACCU
This 1530-nucleotide ribosomal RNA is filed under the name Escherichia coli. Its description in RNAcentral is "bacterial SSU rRNA". It matches the Rfam family "Bacterial small subunit ribosomal RNA". RNAcentral also lists the same sequence under 16 other names. Lineage: Bacteria; Pseudomonadati; Pseudomonadota; Gammaproteobacteria; Enterobacterales; Enterobacteriaceae. The record is from RNAcentral.